GCCCUAGUAACUGCGAGUGAAGCGGCAACAGCCCAGAUUUGAAAUCCAGCUCUMUUGUGGGAGUUUGAGUUGUAAUCUGUAGAGGAUGUCGCUGGCGGAAAGAUGCUCCUAAGUCCCCUGGAACGGGGUGCCAUAGAGGGUGAGAGCCCCGUACGGAGCUGUCUGAGCUGUCAUUAUGCGGCUCCUUCGACGAGUCGAGUAGUUUGGGAAUGCUGCUMUAAACGGGAGGUAAAUUCCUUCCAWGGCUAAAUAUCGGCCGGAGACCGAUAGCGCACAAGUAGAGUGAUCGAAAGAUGAAAAGUACUUUGAAAAGAGGGUUAAACAGUACGUGAAAUUGUUGAAAGGGAAGCGCCCGCGACUAGACUUGCACCUGASUGAUCGYUCUUACGCCCGUCGUAGAGUCUCCCGGUCAUGGUUUGCAGGCCAGCAUCKGUUUGAGUUGGGGGAUAAGAACAGCGGGAACGUAGCUCAUCUCACGGUGAGUGUUAUAGCCCAUUGURCAGUACUCUAGCUCAGAUCGAGGAACGCGMCUUUGGUACGGAUGCUGGCAUAAUGC
RNAcentral lists this ribosomal RNA (556 nucleotides) under Meliola thailandicum. Its description in RNAcentral is "eukaryotic LSU rRNA". It matches the Rfam family "Eukaryotic large subunit ribosomal RNA", at positions 77 to 637 of the family's 3401-position model. Lineage: Eukaryota; Fungi; Ascomycota; Sordariomycetes; Meliolales; Meliolaceae. The record is from RNAcentral.